AGCGAACGCUGGCGGCAGGCCUAACACAUGCAAGUCGAACGGAUCCUUCGGGAUUAGUGGCGGACGGGUGAGUAACACGUGGGAACGUGCCCUUUGGUUCGGAACAACUCAGGGAAACUUGAGCUAAUACCGGAUGUGCCCUUCGGGGGAAAGAUUUAUCGCCAUUGGAGCGGCCCGCGUCUGAUUAGGUAGUUGGUAAGUUAAAGGCUCACCAAGGCGAAGAGUAGUAGCUGGUCUGAGGAGAUGAUCAGCCACAUUUGGACUGAGACACGGCCGAACCUCCUACGGGAGGCAGCAGUGGGGAGUCUUGCGCAAUGGGCGAAAGCCUGGCGCAGCCAUGCCGCGUGAAUGAUGAAGGUCUUAGGAUUGUAAAAUUCUUUCACCGGGGACGAUAAUGACGGUACCCGGAGAAGAAGCCCCGGCUAACUUCGUGCCAGCCGCCGCCGUAA
This 449-nucleotide ribosomal RNA is filed under the name uncultured bacterium. Its description in RNAcentral is "partial 16S ribosomal RNA". It matches the Rfam family "Bacterial small subunit ribosomal RNA", at positions 29 to 523 of the family's 1533-position model. The record is from RNAcentral.